CGACUCUACUGGGGAUCUUUUUUUUUGAGAGUCGAGUCUGAUGUUAAACGCGUGUUGUCAAAAUUUUCAAAUUUUCUUGUUCAAAUUAAUUUUUAAUCGUGAUCCUUGAAUUUUGUUUUCAAAAGUCAUGCAUUUGCAUUCGGUUUUUAUAUUAAUAUUUUUCUAAUGUGUUUUAUUUUUCUGUUUUUUUUAGCUCUAAGUUUUACGUUUUUUGUUUUAGUAAAUCAAAAAUAAAAGGUUUGUGAGUUUCUCUCCAC
This 257-nucleotide long non-coding RNA is filed under the name Gossypium raimondii (Peruvian cotton). Its description in RNAcentral is "long non-coding RNA (GRAI_LNC000086)". Lineage: Eukaryota; Viridiplantae; Streptophyta; Magnoliopsida; Malvales; Malvaceae. The record is from RNAcentral.